RNAcentral lists this ribosomal RNA (189 nucleotides) under Morganella morganii. RNAcentral describes it as "partial 16S ribosomal RNA". It matches the Rfam family "Bacterial small subunit ribosomal RNA", at positions 1 to 183 of the family's 1533-position model. Lineage: Bacteria; Pseudomonadati; Pseudomonadota; Gammaproteobacteria; Enterobacterales; Morganellaceae. RNAcentral also lists the same sequence under 1 other name. The record is from RNAcentral.
UAAUUGAAGAGUUUGAUCAUGGCUCAGAUUGAACGCUGGCGGCAGGCCUAACACAUGCAAGUCGGGCGGUAACAGGGGGAAGCUUGCUUCUCUGCUGACGAGCGGCGGACGGGUGAGUAAUGUAUGGGGAUCUGCCUGAUGGCGGGGGAUAACUACUGGAAACGGUAGCUAAUACCGCAUAAUGUCUUC